AAUAUACGCCCCCCUUUUUGCUGCAUGUGUGACGCUAGGGCUCGUCGAUUGAGACUAUUUAAGCGCUGAGCGCGGUAUUGCGUGUAGUCUUCGUUUCCUGCUGCUCAGCGCCGACGGAAAUACCACUGCCAAUGUUCUAACGGUGACUCCUACCAAGAAGCAAGACCCUGCCAGUGACGAGGACUCUCCUGCACCAGUGGAUGAGGACUUGCUCCGACAGAUGGCAUCCCUCUGUACGCUACUCGUGCAGCAGCUUUGGUAACAGCAGCCCAGCCGUCCCUGGACCCUCCGCUCUAACGGACUCGGCCGUUGCUUUCACGUCAGUGGUCCCAGGACGCUGGCCAACGCAGCGUCAGACUUCUCCGGCCGACCGUGACACUGCCCAGUCUAGUCGCUCCAACAGCGUGGCAACCUGGACGGUACUGGUGUACACAAGCCUAGGCUAUUCCUCCCGUACGCGCUGGAGGAAUCCGCUCUACCACUGAGGGACGACGCUCCUGUUUCUAUCCCCGAGCCCUUCUGCGGGGUCUGUCUUGGAAGACUGGCAUCCCUCCGAACUGCCACCAACCCUAACUAGGAAGGACGUCCACGACUGUGCCAGACCUGGUCCAUCCCGAAACCCACCGUAUACAGGCGCUCAGCGAGAGACUUCGUGCUGCGGCUCACCAGCAAUUCCCUUAAACCCGGACUUGGACCUCGGCUAUACGUAUCAUCGCUCUUUUUGCUCUUCAGCAGCUGGUUCGACCACUGAUAUCUCGGGAUCCAGAAGACGUGAUUUUGGACUUACCAGAUUUGCCGGACAUUUAAGAGUGGUGUAAGUGUCGGGAGAUAAGACGCGAGAUGCUGAUAAUAAAAGCGUUAUCGUGA
Long non-coding RNA from Ornithodoros turicata, 867 nucleotides. RefSeq lists it as uncharacterized. NCBI's taxonomy places the organism in Eukaryota, Metazoa, Arthropoda, Arachnida, Ixodida, Argasidae. The transcript is spliced from 2 exons. The record is from RefSeq and is a predicted model, not a curated record.